This 497-nucleotide ribosomal RNA is filed under the name uncultured bacterium. RNAcentral's name for it is "partial 16S ribosomal RNA". It matches the Rfam family "Bacterial small subunit ribosomal RNA", at positions 28 to 507 of the family's 1533-position model. The record is from RNAcentral.
GACGAACGCUGGCGGCGUGCCUAAUACAUGCAAGUUGAGCGCUGAAGGUUGGUACUUGUACCAACUGGAUGAGCAGCGAACGGGUGAGUAACGCGUGGGGAAUCUGCCUUUGAGCGGGGGACAACAUUUGGAAACGAAUGCUAAUACCGCAUAAAAACUUUAAACACAAGUUUUAAGUUUGAAAGAUGCAAUUGCAUCACUCAAAGAUGAUCCCGCGUUGUAUUAGCUAGUUGGUGAGGUAAAGGCUCACCAAGGCGAUGGUACAUAGCCGACCUGAGAGGGUGAUCGGCCACAGUGGGACUGAGACACGGCCCAAACUCCUACGGGAGGCAGCAGUAGGGAAUCUUCGGCAAUGGACGAAAGUCUGACCGAGCAACGCCGCGUGAGUGAAGAAGGGUUUCGGAUCGUAAAACUCUGUUGGUAGAGAAGAACGUUGGUGAGAGUGGAAAGCUCAUCAAGUGACGGUAACUACCCAGAAAGGGACGGCUAACUACGUG